AAUGAAUGGCAGAUCCUGAAGACUCACUUGUUCAGGCUAGCUUUUGGGUAGCCUAUGUCUUUUAUUUAUUGAUAAUUGUAUCUGUUGUAUUUGUAGUUUAUUCUACUGACUAU
Molecule: long non-coding RNA, 113 nt
Organism: Sander lucioperca (pikeperch)
Lineage: Eukaryota; Metazoa; Chordata; Actinopteri; Perciformes; Percidae
Exons: 3
Source: RefSeq, a predicted model, not a curated record